CACACCGCCCGUCACACCAUGGGAGUUGGCUUUACCUGAAGACGGUGCGCUAACCGCAAGGGGGGCAGCGGCCCAAGGUAUGAUCCAUGAUUGGGGUG
This 98-nucleotide ribosomal RNA is filed under the name uncultured bacterium. RNAcentral's name for it is "partial 16S ribosomal RNA". The record is from RNAcentral.